RNAcentral lists this long non-coding RNA (1163 nucleotides) under Gossypium barbadense (sea-island cotton). RNAcentral's name for it is "long non-coding RNA (GBAR_LNC004437)". The record is from RNAcentral. Lineage: Eukaryota; Viridiplantae; Streptophyta; Magnoliopsida; Malvales; Malvaceae.
CCUAAUGGCCAAAAUAUGGAUGCAAUUUAUUUAUACCCGCUUAGCGACUACCAACAAUGCCUCUGACAUUAGUGCUUAUUGAGCGGUUAUGCUUUAUUCAAUCUUGCAACAUGAACAGAUUUGUGUAGGCCACUGGAUUUACAAAGAGAUGCUCAAAUGUGUACGACAUCGAAAGCAAAGUAUGUACUUCCCACAUCUGAUUACCGCCCUAUGUUACCAAGCUGACGUCCCCACGAAGAGCGUGAUUGGGGACAACUUGUACGACCAGUUUCUCGAGCUCCAACGCAAGCAAAAUCAGGAGGAGCAAAGAAAAAAGCAUAAGAACAGUUCCCAAGGGUCGAUGAAGAGGAAGGAAAAGCACAAACGUCAAGGAUGAUGGGCUUUACUGAUAUGUCGAUAUCGCAUUAGUAGACCCGUUCUAUGUAGGACAUAGAAGACAUUCUGAUUCGCAUCGCGAAACAGAAUAGGUGCCCUACACCAACACUUCUCCCUGACAUGCUCGAGAGGUUCCCACCACCAGACGAGGAGGGUGACGAUGAUGAUGAGGAGGAUACCCCUAUUGCACCAUCGGACUAUGAGUAGGUAUUUAGCCUAGACCACUCAUCAAUGAAAGGCAUGGUGAUCCGUAACUCGAGCUAACACAGCUCGACCCAGACUUCGGGAAGGCAGGAAAUGAGAGUGCUGGUGAGGCGCGAUAGGGGCAAGGCCCAGAUGAGGGAAGAGUCAGAAUCUGAGUCAGACUACUUUUAAACAUUUAUAUAUUUGGAUUUUUGUAUUAUAUUUUUAUUUGGAUGACUUUUAAUUUUUGCAUUAGUAAUUUGUUAGGAUUUAGUAUUUUUCAUAAAUAUGUUUGUGUGCUUUUAUUUUUCUUUGUAGAAGCCCUACAAAUUUUUUACGGCAUUACAAUUGUGAGCAAAAAUCGAAAGGAGCAGUAGUCCCACCAAUUGGGAUGCACUUACCACGCCAAUCGGGUAACUUCUUUCUUUUACAUUUUUAUUUGCACAUUAGGGAUAAUGUGUCAAAUAAAGUGUGGGGGUGACUUAGGAAAAUUUAAAAAAAAUUUCUUUCCAGUUAUUUUAUUUUCCUUGUUUCUAGUUUUAAAUUUUCUUUUUAAUCGCAUGUUUGUGUAUGAGCUUGUAGAAAUACAAGUAAUUGGUUAGGAG